Molecule: small RNA, 1089 nt
Filed under: Pan troglodytes (chimpanzee)
Lineage: Eukaryota; Metazoa; Chordata; Mammalia; Primates; Hominidae
Description: processed transcript
Source: RNAcentral
CCGGCACCCGAGGGGCGCGGUAGCCGGCGCGGGCAGCGGGGGCCGGGCCGCGGCGGGCGCCCGGGCGGGGUCCGCGCUGAGCCGCCUUCUCGGCCGGCUGGUCCCUGCGGCGGCUGCCCGGCGGCCCGGGCGCGCGGCCCUUCGCCAUGUACACCUUCGUGGUACGCGAUGAGAACAGCAGCGUCUACGCCGAGGUCUCUCGGCUGCUUCUCGCCACCGGCCACUGGAAGAGGCUGCGGCGAGACAACCCCAGAUUCAACCUGAUGUUGGGAGAGAGGAAUCGGCUGCCCUUCGGGAGACUGGUUCUGCAUUGGAUUAAGAUCUUACACGAGGCUGCGUUUGCCCUCCCUGUCUUCCCUGCUCUCCCCUAGGGAAUUACCUUCAUCCACAUGGUUGAAGCUGGCUGGGCACCACCAUACCCACAUGUCCACGGGUAGGAAAGCGCAGGAGAUAGGAGGGGACUAGCGGCUCCUUGUAAGUGAUGUCAUCCAGAAGUUGCCCAGAUCGGUUCAACUCACAUCCUAUUGACCUGAGCAUAGUCUCAUGGCCUCCCUCUCUGCACAGUCAUCUGGGAAUUGCAUCUUCUCUCCGGGGAGCCAUGUUCCUUGCCAGAAUUCACCAGAGGUGGGGGCCAAUUGUAUUCCAAAGACAAGGGGAGAAUCGAUGCGGAGGAAGAGUCACCUCUACCUUGGAGGGCAACCCAGAGAGAGCAAUGUUCUAUGUCCAGGAGAGAAAACAGUUUUUAGAAAUAGGUGUGGUCAGAAUUCAAAUGGGUAAAAACUGAAUACGGGCCAUUUGGAAUUGACUGGUCAUUUAUGAGCUUCCAUAGAGCCUUUGGGAGGGGGCUGUGUAAAACUCAAAUCGUUGGAGGAAUGAAGAGCUGCAGUGUAAAGUUGCUGGAUUUUUUUCUUUUGAAUAGUACCUGGGACAACUUUUCAUUGGUAUACAAGUUUAUGAUGUAGAAUGGUGACUCCAUGGAAGGACCCAUUUGAACACCCAGAAAUCUUAGAAUAUGGAGACUGUGCCUGGAGACUCCCUUUUGUUAACCGGUGUCAGGAAGACCCUAGCAAAGAGAAUUCAUGAUCUGAA